RNAcentral lists this ribosomal RNA (901 nucleotides) under Echiniscus evelinae. RNAcentral describes it as "SSU rRNA". It matches the Rfam family "Eukaryotic small subunit ribosomal RNA", at positions 140 to 949 of the family's 1831-position model. The record is from RNAcentral. Lineage: Eukaryota; Metazoa; Tardigrada; Heterotardigrada; Echiniscoidea; Echiniscidae.
UGGAUAACUGUGGUAAUUCUAGAGCUAAUACAUGCAUCAAGCCUUGACCCUUACGGGCAAGGCGCAGUUAUUAGAUCAAAAACCAAUCGGUUGUGUUUUCGGAUACAGCCGUUAGCUUGGUGACUCUGAGUAACCACAGCGAACCGUAUGGCCUUGUGCCGGACGGUCUGUCAGUCAAGCAACUGCCUUAUCAGCUUGUUGUUAGGUUAUAUGCCUAACAAGGCUUCAACGGGUAACGAACGAUCGGGGUCGGAUAUCGGAGAGGGAGCUUGAGAAACGGCUACCACUUCCAAGGAAGGCAGCAGGCGCGCAAAUUACCCACUCUCGGCAUGAGGAGGUAGCGAUGAAAUGUAUCGAUGCGGGGCCAUUAGUGCCUUCGUAAUCGGAAUGAGUACACUUUAAAUCCUAUAACAAGGACCUAUUGGAGGGCAAGUCUGGUGCCAGCAGCCGCGGUAAUUCCAGCUCCAAUAGCGUAUAUUAAUGCUGCUGCGGUUAAAAAGCUCGUAGUCGGAUCUGGGUUACCGGCGGGUACCGCAUGUUGCUUCGUGCAGCAUGUUGUGUACUAUACGUGUCGCUUCGGCGGCACUGCCAGCGUAGCGCUGUCUCUUGUAGGCACGUUGCGUUGGUCGCCGGAACCACGGGCCGGGUUGAGCAGCAUGCUCUUAAUUGAGUGUGUUGUUUACUCGGUGCGUUUACUUUGAAAAAAUUGGAGUGCUCAAAGCAAGCGUACAAAUGCCAAGGCGGCUUGAACAGUGGUGCAUGGAAUAAUGGAAUAGGGCCUCGGUUCUAUUUUGUUGGUUUUAAGAUAUCGAGGUAAUGAUUAAGAGGGACAGACGGGGACGUUUGUAUUGCGACGUUAGAGGUGAAAUUCUUGGAUCGUCGCAAGACACACUAAUGCGAA